UGGAUGAUGUGGUUUAAUUCGAUGCAACGCGAAAACCUUACCCACCUUUGACAUGGCAGGAAUCCCGAAGAGAUUUGGGAGUGCUCGAAAGAGAACCUGCACACAGGUGCUACAUGGCUGUCGUCAGCUCGUGUCGUGAGAUGUUGGGUUAAGUCCCGCAACGAGCGCAACCCUUGCCAUUAGUUGCUACGAAAGGGCACUCUAAUGGGACUGCCGGUGACAAACCGGAGGAAGGUGGGGAUGACGUCAAGUCCUCAUGGCCCUUAUAGGUGGGGCUACACACGUCAUACAAUGGCCGGUACAGAGGGUAGCCAACCCGCGAGGGGGAGCCAAUCCCACAAAGCCGGUCGUAGUCCGGAUCGCAGUCUGCAACUCGACUGCGUGAAGUCGGAAUCGCUAGUAAUCGCGGAUCAGCAUGUCGCGGUGAAUACGUUCCCGGGUCUU
RNAcentral lists this ribosomal RNA (444 nucleotides) under uncultured Allobrachymonas sp. Its description in RNAcentral is "bacterial SSU rRNA". It matches the Rfam family "Bacterial small subunit ribosomal RNA", at positions 933 to 1382 of the family's 1533-position model. Lineage: Bacteria; Pseudomonadati; Pseudomonadota; Betaproteobacteria; Burkholderiales; Comamonadaceae. The record is from RNAcentral.